AUUGUGUAGUUAUGAUUGUCUUUAGGCUUGCCAUCCUUCCACUUGCAAGUGGUAAGUGAUAUGCGCUGGGAUCACACACACAGCGGCUCAGUCCCGAAUCACAGCUCGUGCACUUCACUCGCGCGCUCUGUGAGCUGCACAAGUCCGGAGUGCGCACCCUCCAGAGGGCACUCGCUGUUCAGGGCGGAGUGAUUUGGAGCGCAGGAUGCCUGCGGAGCCGAGCGUAUCCGUGUAUUGGUGUUGCUGUGUGCACACUAAUCGUUUUAAAAACGUUAAUCUGAUGAUCUGCUGAUACGGUCUAAUGUAAACAUGGGCUGAGUGUGGAGUGCGCGUGACUUGCAUUUUACCAGUUUCCUGCUCUACGAGUUCGGGCUGCACUUGUGAAGCGUGUGUGACGCACGUGAUUAGCAUGUUACAAUCACUCAUAACUUGUGUGAUGCAAGCCAGGAGUGGGUAUAAAACCAGCGUGUCUGCAGCAUUCUGGAUCUGUCUUUCGACUGAAGAACACUGGAUAUUUUGUGAGAAAAAAAAAAAAAAUUCAGUUUAAAGUUUAGAAAAUGGGACCCAAGAAGAAGUGAGCAAAAGUGAAGUAACCCAGCCUGAAACAGCAGAGGGGGAGGAGGAGGAAGAAUUUGAUGAUGAUGGUAGCAGCACCAGCGAGCCCUGCACGGACAGGGAGAAGUUUGCCUUCAAGCCGGCAGAUGGUACAGCACCCUGCCAGAGAGAUUCUCACAGCUAAUGAUGCCCAGAAGUGAGGACACUGCAAUCCCAUGAUCGCUGUCCGGCCAUUGUGCCAUGCUCAGUGAUAAGGACAUCCCGACACCCCGUCCCACCACUCAGCAGGAGCAGGACAGCAGCUCGGAGCCAAAGUGUGUUUCAGUGCUCAAACUGUUGGGCUAUUUAGUUGGGAUUUUUUUACAAUGUAAUAAAAUGCGUUAUUCCCUUAUACUCAUGUUUUAUUAUUUGACAUUUGCAUGGUAAAUUAACAUAUACUCAAAUAAAAACAGCAAAUGA
Long non-coding RNA from Neoarius graeffei (lesser salmon catfish), 1014 nucleotides. RefSeq lists it as uncharacterized. The record is from RefSeq and is a predicted model, not a curated record. NCBI's taxonomy places the organism in Eukaryota, Metazoa, Chordata, Actinopteri, Siluriformes, Ariidae. The transcript has 2 exons.